This 220-nucleotide long non-coding RNA is filed under the name Gossypium raimondii (Peruvian cotton). RNAcentral describes it as "long non-coding RNA (GRAI_LNC002619)". The record is from RNAcentral. Lineage: Eukaryota; Viridiplantae; Streptophyta; Magnoliopsida; Malvales; Malvaceae.
UGUUGGUUAGGCUUAAGAAAUGCAUACUGUUGUUUGUUGAUAGUGUUGCUUGCUUUAAUAUGGAUGGAUGGGGCUACUGAAUUGUAGUGUUAUUAUGCAUAUUGUUGAUACUGUUGCCUGUUGUCUGUUGUUUGUUGAUGUGUUUUGUGUUGUUGGUUAGGCUUAAGAAAUGCAUACCGUUGUUUGUUGAUAGUGUUAUUAUGGAUAUUGUAGGGAAAAU